Molecule: ribosomal RNA, 393 nt
Filed under: uncultured bacterium
Lineage: Bacteria
Description: bacterial SSU rRNA
Rfam family: Bacterial small subunit ribosomal RNA
Source: RNAcentral
AUUGAACGCUGGCGGCAUGCCUUACACAUGCAAGUCGAACGGCAGCACGGGAGCAAUCCUGGUGGCGAGUGGCGAACGGGUGAGUAAUAUAUCGGAACGUGCCCAGUCGUGGGGAUAACGUAGCGAAAGUUACGCUAAUACCGCAUACGAUCUAAGGAUGAAAGCGGGGGAUCGCAAGACCUCGCGCGAUUGGAGCGGCCGAUAUCAGAUUAGGUAGUUGGUGAGGUAAAGGCUCACCAAGCCAACGAUCUGUAGCUGGUCUGAGAGGACGACCAGCCACACUGGAACUGAGACACGGUCCAGACUCCUACGGGAGGCAGCAGUGGGAAUUUUUGGACAAAUGGGCGCAAGCCUGAUCCAGCAAUGCCGCGUGCAGGAUGAAGGCCUUCGGUU